Molecule: ribosomal RNA, 433 nt
Filed under: uncultured bacterium
Lineage: Bacteria
Description: partial 16S ribosomal RNA
Rfam family: Bacterial small subunit ribosomal RNA
Source: RNAcentral
AACGAACGCUGGCGGCAUGCCUAACACAUGCAAGUCGAACGAGACCUUCGGGUCUAGUGGCGCACGGGUGCGUAACGCGUGGGAACCUGCCCUUAGGUUCGGAAUAACUCCCCGAAAGGGGUGCUAAUACCGGCUAAUGUCUUCGGACCAAAGUUUUAUCGCCUUUGGAUGGGCCCGCGUUGGAUUAGCUAGUUGGUAGGGUAAAAGCCUACCAAGGCGACGAUCCAUAGCUGGUCUGAGAGGAUGAUCAGCCACACUGGGACUGAGACACGGCCCAGACUCCUACGGGAGGCAGCAGUGGGGAAUAUUGGACAAUGGGCGAAAGCCUGAUCCAGCAAUGCCGCGUGAGUGAUGAAGGCCGUAGGGUUGUAAAGCUCUUUUACCCGGGAUGAUAAUGACAGUACCGGGAGAAUAAGCUCCGGCUAACUCCGUG